AUGGCAUUUCCUGCCCCCCGCUCCGCCUGUCCGCCCCGCCCCCCGCGCCAGCCCGGCUGCCCCGCGCAGGGACAAGCGUGCCCGGCGGAGCGAGUGCGCGCGUGUCCGCUCGCCCGGGUCCUCGGACCUAGGGGCGCCCCCGCACGCCUGGGCCUCCUCGAGGCCGCGUUUCGGACGCCUGCUGGGAGGAGAGAGGCUUCGGGUGCGGCGGGGGACACAGGGAGGACGCAGGAGGAACCUCCUCGGCCCCCUUGCCGCGCCUACAGGCACCGAGUCCCCGGGGAGGCCGUCUUCCGGGCCUCUGGUGCAGUGGGCGCCGAGGGAGCCCUGCCUUUGAGCCCGCCCCAGUCCCUUCCCACUCGCGUCUCUGCAGCCCUCCGAGGUCGCGGUUCCAGUGGGAGCGGGGGUGUGAAAAGCAAGCGAGGCCUCAGCGCGGGACCGCGUCCUCCUCUGCUUUCUAAUCCGCUGGGCGGCAGGGCGGGAGCCGGAGGGUCCUCUGUUGUCCAGACGCCACUCACUUUGGAGAACGCGGCCCGCUGUCCCCUUCUCUCGUUGGGCCCACCCCGUGGGACGUACGGAGCUCAGUGCAGUCGCCGGGCACCCCGGGGCGGGGUGGGGGGCUGGGGGGCAGGCUCCACCCACCCCGUCCCCACGCGGGGCCCGGGGCGCCUGCGGAUCGGAGGGAGGGGCGCGGGCUGGGGAGCACGCCGGCUCUGCCACGACGUGUUUGUAGAAGUUGUAGAAAGGCAGGAGCAACUUCGAUGGGGCGGACCCGUAGGUACUGGCUGCUCGUGGUCACAGGCGUCACUUGCUUCAGCUCCAGGCGCUGCAAAGCUCAGAGCUGACACUCUGCCCCGCUGGCCUUGCGGAUGGCCCCCGCGGUGCCCCGCCCGCCCGCUGGCCCGGGUGGACGUCUGCACUGUGCCCGGAUGCACUGGGCCUUGCCCGGAACGGACGCUUUCAAGCUGUCCUGGAAGGUCAGGAAUCAAGGAGCAACAAAAAUCGUACAGAUUAGAGUCGGUACAUCCUCCUGAAAAACCAUCAACAAAAGAAAACCAACCCGGUAGCAGGACUUACAGCCUCCUGCUCAAGCCGUGCAAUCAGGCUGAUGAGCUAAAUAAAUGA
RNAcentral lists this long non-coding RNA (1125 nucleotides) under Bos indicus x Bos taurus (hybrid cattle). RNAcentral's name for it is "lncRNA (ENSBIXG00005023051.1)". Lineage: Eukaryota; Metazoa; Chordata; Mammalia; Artiodactyla; Bovidae. The record is from RNAcentral.